Molecule: long non-coding RNA, 2779 nt
Organism: Cuculus canorus (common cuckoo)
Lineage: Eukaryota; Metazoa; Chordata; Aves; Cuculiformes; Cuculidae
Exons: 5
Source: RefSeq, a predicted model, not a curated record
ACUAGGAUCAUGAUGGUAUCAUCUGAUCUUGUGAUUGACCCUUGAGUCUGGCAUAAGAGAUAACAAUUCUGGGAAAACUCAUAGAAAGUAGACUUCAUCUACUCAUCCCAGAUGGUGUAGCUCUGUGUGGUAGAAGACCUAGUUCUGUUUCAGUUGUACCAGAAGAUAUUACAAAAUGGGUAGUAUUAUCACAGGUGAAUAAAAGUGCAAUUUUCAGAAGACUACCAUGCCAGUAAGUAUCACACUGCCAAAGUGUCUGAUUGAAGUGAUUUGGGAAUGACAAAGAGAGUGAUACCUUUCAAAGAAGUAAAAUACAAAUCUCACUGAAAGGUUGAACAAAAUAAGAUUUCUCUGUUUUCCAGUUGCUUUUUCAAAUCUGUACAUGUUUAUCAAGAUAGUGAAUGUAACUUUGUGAUUGAUUGCUUACCCUCUACAGAACGCAAGUGGUGAAGUGGCUAGUAGUAUUAAACAAAUAAUCUGACUUAAACAGGUAGCUUCACCAAUUUUCUUAGGGUUUUCCCAUUGAAGUCUUUCUGGAAAAUAGUUAAGCUGUUUCUGCUGGUACAUUUAAAUAAAUUUAAUAUGGCCUUAAGCAGAGAGAAGCAUGGAAAUUUCACUCAGCUAGUAAAAUUUACUGAUAUUAUAAGCAAGGGUUAGAAUUAUAAUAAGCAUAAUGCAACCUUCAUUUUUCUUGCCACACAAAUUAAAUUAAAUGUCAGAAGUUAAGUGCAAGUUGUUGUAGGGAGAGAGAAGAGUAUAUGUCUAAACCAUUGCUUCUAUAAAUAGUGAAAAAGAUGUAAAAUUUUACUCUUGUGUAAUUUGUUACUGCAUGAGUAUCCAACAGGUAAUAUUCAAAAUGCCUUUUACAGAACUGUUUGACAGUUUUCUGUGAACUUUUCCAUUCAAGUUGCUGUAGAUAGAGACCUUAUGAUUGAUGUAGAGGAUUGAUCUGCGUGUUGAUUUUCUGAGGAGUACUUGAAGUCAUGUAGGCACCAGUGAUAUAAGUGCAUGCUUUCAUGCUGAGUGUGAAAAAGGCAGAGUAUAUAGGCUUUGCUAAACUAGUAGGGUGUGUGAAUACAGAUAAAACAUGAGAAACAUGGUAGAACAAGUCAACACAGGAAAGACGAGCUUUCCGGAAGAUGAUAAAAUGUCAAAGAGAAAAGAAAUAACUAGUCAUGUAAGUGCGGCCUUUGAAUAAGCCUAUAGUGGAGCAGAUGCGCCCUCAGAGGGACUGCAACACAUGGAGGAUCUGUUCUUGUACAGGUGCAGUGGAUGAAUGUCGUUGCAGUACUAACUCUAUAGCCUCACCUAAAGGGAAAAGGGUUGGAGGUUGUAAUGCAUGUACAUUUAACCUGUUGUAACCCAUGGUGUGCGUUUUAUUUGCUGCUGCAGGAACCACCCAAAUGAAUGGAGGAUGAAUCUCAUGAGAAGCUGGGCAUGUGUGGUGGUGACCCUGUCUGAGCUGGAUUUGCAUCUCAACAGUAUAAUAAACCAUUCCUUCUUUUCUGAGCAAGCAUUGUAGAUGAAGCCCAAGCUGUGGACUUUAAAUAAACUCGAUGGACUUCUAUGAUCUUCUUACCUUUCUCCUAUUUUCUCCCCAUCCUACAGGAAAGGACCAAAUGAUGAGACGUGCAAAGAUCAUGUUUUGCUGUGGAAUUUUGUAGCUGCUUCCAGAGAAUGGUGUUGCUUGUGCCAUCCCUCCUGCAGAAGAGCAUGCCUUAUCUAACAGAAGAUUAAGAAGGGAUGGAAGAAGACCUGAGGAACCAUAAGCCUAUACAUAGAUGACACCAAGCUGACUGGUGCAGUUGCCACACUGAAAGGGAGGGGAUGUCAUCCAGAGAGUCCUGGACAAGUUGGAGAAUUGGGCCUGUGUGAACCUCAUGAAGUUCAACAAGGCCGAGUACAAGGUCCUACACCUGGAUUGGGCAAGCAACUUUGUGCCUCUCUAGUUCAGUGGCUGAGGUCUUUGAAGGAGGAAUUCAGGACAUGCAAGACUCUUCAAGGGACUAUGUUGAGAAGUGAAUGCCAGACUGUGGCAUUAAGGGCAUGGACUCCAAUUGUGGUACAGAUGAAAUCAUGUUUAUUGAGGUGAUUUUAUUGUAUGACAAGCUCAUUCUCCCACAUCAUAACGGGAUUUCUUGACACAGCCUCUGUAAGGAAUUCUGAGAUAUACUGCAAAUCUCAGUGGUUUGAAGGGCACUGGGGGUUUGUUUGUUUUCUUUGUUUUUUAAUGGAAAGUACAAUUUAGGAAUGUUUUGUUUCCUCAGUGAAUACAAUGUCUUUCAAACAUUUUGUGAAAUUGUCACUAUGUAGUGUAAAACUUCAUUUGGGAUAUUGAUCACAGGGAGACUCUGAAAUAAAAGGUAACUCUAAAUGUGUCUUCCACAUAGAAGCUUUUAUGGCCUUUUUGUUCACUAUUUAUAUUUUGAAUGUCUCUUUUAUUUGUACUGGCAAGUUUGUAUUGUCUUCUGUGAACGUUCAUGAGCUGCAGCAGGCAUCUUCUCAGACAACUUUUGCAAACUGCUAAAGAGAUACUUAGAAAGAGUCUGAGUAGCAGGCAAUCUGCAAUGUAAAUUUCUUCCACAUAGCUAAAUCAUGCUCUUUUAGUAACUGAUACAAGCUUUUAUACAAAUGACUGCUGAUUUGCAAGUAGAAAGAGUUUGUUGCAACUUGGCUACUUUGUAUUUCACAGAUUAGCAUCCACAAAUGAUGGUCUUUCUUUCCUGAAUAAAGAUUUAGGCAAAUUGUUUUUUUCAUGUUGCUGUAAUGUCACGUUCUA